This is a long non-coding RNA of Thalassophryne amazonica, 89 nucleotides long. RefSeq lists it as uncharacterized. The transcript has 4 exons. NCBI's taxonomy places the organism in Eukaryota, Metazoa, Chordata, Actinopteri, Batrachoidiformes, Batrachoididae. The record is from RefSeq and is a predicted model, not a curated record.
AAUUAUUUAUAUUGGUGCUCUGUUUGAGCUCCAGCUCCAAACUGUUCCACAAAUCCACCCCACAGAUUAUGUAAGUUUAAGGGAAUAUU